AGGGAGCACUGACUUACCUUCUGUUCCAGCACUGCUCCCUCUGCUGAUGCCGCUGAGAGACAGCGGCAUCAGCAGAGGGAGUAGUGCUGGAACAGCACGUAAGUCAGUGCUCCCU
Molecule: non-coding RNA, 115 nt
Organism: Pelobates cultripes (western spadefoot toad)
Lineage: Eukaryota; Metazoa; Chordata; Amphibia; Anura; Pelobatidae
Source: the annotation of a GenBank genome assembly